Molecule: non-coding RNA, 114 nt
Organism: Acanthosepion pharaonis
Lineage: Eukaryota; Metazoa; Mollusca; Cephalopoda; Sepiida; Sepiidae
Source: the annotation of a GenBank genome assembly
UUACGGCCACAUCAUGUUGAAACACCGGUUCCCGUACGAUCAUACAAGUUAACCAACGGCAAGACUGGUCAGUACCUAGAUGGGUGACCUCUUCUGAAAAACUGGUGAUGUAAG